AGGUUAAGCUAAUAAGAGCACACGGAGGAUGCCUAGGCGCCAGGAGCCGACGAAGGACGUGGCGAACAACGAAACUGCCUCGGGGAGCUGUAAGCAAGCUUUGAUCCGGGGGUGUCCGAAUGGGGAAACCCAGCUGUGGUAAUUCGCAGUUACUCAUUUCUGAAUACAUAGGAAAUGUAGAGGCAGACCAGGGGAACUGAAACAUCUAAGUACCCUGAGGAAGAGAAAACAAUAGUGAUUCCGUCAGUAGCGGCGAGCGAACGCGGAACAGCCUAAACCUAAGAGCUUGCUCUUAGGGGUUGUGGGACGUCUCACAUGGAGUUACAAAGGAAUAUGGUAGGUGAAGAGGUCUGGAAAGGCCCGCGAUAGAGGUAAAAGCCCUGUAACCUAAACUGUGUUCUCUCCGAGACGGAUCCCGAGUAGUGCGGGGCACGUGAAACCCCGUAUGAAUCCAGCAGGACCAUCUGCUAAGGCUAAAUACUACCUGGCGAC
This 492-nucleotide ribosomal RNA is filed under the name Paenibacillus odorifer. Its description in RNAcentral is "bacterial LSU rRNA". It matches the Rfam family "Bacterial large subunit ribosomal RNA", at positions 1 to 484 of the family's 2925-position model. The record is from RNAcentral. Lineage: Bacteria; Bacillati; Bacillota; Bacilli; Caryophanales; Paenibacillaceae.